Molecule: ribosomal RNA, 634 nt
Filed under: Mycena galericulata
Lineage: Eukaryota; Fungi; Basidiomycota; Agaricomycetes; Agaricales; Mycenaceae
Description: eukaryotic LSU rRNA
Rfam family: 5.8S ribosomal RNA (bases 221-374)
Source: RNAcentral
GCUGGCUCUUCACAGGGCAUGUGCUCGUCCCAUCUAUUUAUCUUCUCUUGUGCACCUUUUGUAGUCUUUUUGAAUGAAUAGCAGUUAUUGGAGCGUGAGCGCGCAAGCGCACUGCACCUGUCUGUUUUGCUUUCUUCAGAGGGACUACGUUUUCAUAUACACUAUAAAGUUACAGAAUGUCUUUUAAGGAUUGCGCUCGUCGUAGUCAUUAAACCUAUACAACUUUCAGCAACGGAUCUCUUGGCUCUCCCAUCGAUGAAGAACGCAGCGAAAUGCGAUAAGUAAUGUGAAUUGCAGAAUUCAGUGAAUCAUCGAAUCUUUGAACGCACCUUGCGCCCUUUGGUAUUCCGAAGGGCAUGCCUGUUUGAGUGUCAUUAAAUUAUCAACCUUGCUUUGCUUUUACUAGCAUUGCUCGGCUUGGAUGUGGGGGUUUUUGCUGGCUUCCUUCAGUGGAUGGUCUGCUCCCCUUAAAUGCAUUAGUGGGAUCUCUUGUGGACCGUCACUUGGUGUGAUAAUUAUCUAUGCCAUGCGACUUUGAAGCAAACUUUAUGGGAACCUGCUUAUAACCGUCCCUCACAAGGACAACUUAUUGACAUUCUGACCUCAAAUCAGGUAGGACUACCCGCUGAACUUA